This is a small nucleolar RNA of Spermophilus dauricus (Daurian ground squirrel), 139 nucleotides long. Its record names the gene SNORA71. It matches the Rfam family "Small nucleolar RNA SNORA71". From Rfam's summary of the family: The members of this family belong to the H/ACA class of snoRNAs which bind a number of proteins (including dyskerin, Gar1p and Nop10p) to form snoRNP complexes. This class of snoRNAs are thought to guide the sites of modification of uridines to pseudouridines by forming direct base pairing interactions with substrate RNAs. Lineage: Eukaryota; Metazoa; Chordata; Mammalia; Rodentia; Sciuridae. The record is from Ensembl.
CCCUUUUCUGAGUCACUAUGUCUCUCAGCCUGGCCAGGGCCCUGGUCAUUGAUAGUGCAGGGAGAGGAAUUGCUGAAAGCGUUUCCCCAUGUUUGGAGGGUCUGCAUUUGUCCCUUUCAAACUCUGGAGCUUUUGUACA